Molecule: ribosomal RNA, 771 nt
Filed under: uncultured bacterium
Lineage: Bacteria
Description: bacterial SSU rRNA
Rfam family: Bacterial small subunit ribosomal RNA
Source: RNAcentral
AGAGUUUGAUCCUGGCUCAGGACGAACGCUGGCGGCGUGCUUAACACAUGCAAGUCGAACGGAAAGGCCCUUCGGGGUACUCGAGUGGCGAACGGGUGAGUAACACGUGGGUGAUCUGCCCUGCACUUUGGGAUAAGCCUGGGAAACUGGGUCUAAUACCGAAUAUGACCAUGCGCCUCCUGGUGUGUGGUGGAAAGCUUUUGCGGUGUGGGAUGGGCCCGCGGCCUAUCAGCUUGUUGGUGGGGUAAUGGCCUACCAAGGCGACGACGGGUAGCCGGCCUGAGAGGGUGACCGGCCGCACUGGGACUGAGAUACGGCCCAGACUCCUACGGGAGGCAGCAGUGGGGAAUAUUGCACAAUGGGCGCAAGCCUGAUGCAGCGACGCCGCGUGAGGGAUGACGGCCUUCGGGUUGUAAACCUCUUUCAGCACAGACGAAGCGCAAGUGACGGUAUGUGCAGAAGAAGGACCGGCCAACUACGUGCCAGCAGCCGCGGUAAUACGUAGGGUCCGAGCGUUGUCCGGAAUUACUGGGCGUAAAGAGCUCGUAGGUGGUUUGUCGCGUUGUUCGUGAAAACUCACAGCUUAACUGUGGGCGUGCGGGCGAUACGGGCAGACUUGAGUACUGCAGGGGAGACUGGAAUUCCUGGUGUAGCGGUGGAAUGCGCAGAUAUCAGGAGGAACACCGGUGGCGAAGGCGGGUCUCUGGGCAGUAACUGACGCUGAGGAGCGAAAGCGUGGGGAGCGAACAGGAUUAGAUACCCUGGUAGUCC